UACUUUCAGUUUGAGUGGUGUGCUAAUCAAGCGCACAGAACAUCACACUUGUACAAUGGGUCAAACAGGCUAGAAUUAGUGCAGCACACUAGUCUGCUUCCAGAUUUCUGAUGGUUUGUCAAGAUCGAUCGUCUGCAUUAUAACAUUACUGGCUGAAGACGGCUGCACGGACGUUGUUUGCGGCAGCAGAGCAGUGUUAGUUAAGGCCUAAGAGUGGGCCCCAGUGGCUGAGGGGGGCACACCAAUGUGUCCUGUGAAGUUGAUCGAAGAUAGUUUAAUGAAGUGGCCUGAGAGUGAAUGGAGACGACUGUCCCUCGCUGCACAGAUGGCUGCUUUGUCACUGGUGACACCUGCCAUCUGCUUGUUUGUCUAAAUGAUGUUGGACGGGCCAGUGCGAGGACCCAAUCUACUAAACUGGCUGCAACCGGCCCUGGGUGACCCCCUGACCUCUGUGUCAGACAGGUCCAGUGAGUUUGUUCUUUCUGCUCAGCGUGUACUUCUUUAUGUUGCUAACCUCUCUCUGGCCUCUGAGUUGCAACCCAGCUGUCAGCGGAUGACUCACAGAUUGGAGACCUUUGUCAAUAUUCACCACGAGCAAUCUUCUACUAAGGACUCACUUACUCAAGGGCAUUUGAAUCCAGAUCUACCACACACCUGAACAUGAAGGAGAACUUACUGCUAACCCAAAUGUCUUUGAGGUGUGGAAGAAAUGUGAGCACCUGGGGGAAAACAAUGCAGUCACAAAGAGAAGAACAGGCAGGAUCAAACCUGGACACAAGAACGGCAAGGUUUGGAGACCUGUCUGACUGGAUACAGCAUGGAAUAAUCCCUUCAGCCCAGUGAGUCACACCGACCGGCAAACACUGAGAACUGUGGACUGUGGAAGGAAACACGAGGACCCAGGGAAGACCCUAUCGUUCUACGGGGAUGACGUACAGAGACUCCGACAGAGGACGCCAGCACUGAACUUUGAACUCUGACACCCCAAACAGGAAUCGAUUCACAUUAACUGCUACACCACUAUGGUGCCCAUGGUUGAUGGGGAGAAGGGAGGUAUUAAAUGAGUACAGGUAAUUGGAAAGUGAAGUAACAGUAUCGUUAAAGCACAAGUGUUUCCUUUCACAGUUACACACACAGAGUACUGGAGGAACAGCAAGCCAGGCAGCAUUGAUGGAGGAGAAUACAGAGCCAACAUUUCAGGUUGAGACCCUACCUUAGGCUCGUCUGGUGUGCUUAUGUUUCUCUUUGCAUUCCGCUUUUCCCUGUUCACUUCUUACGCUCUCUUGCAGUUAUAACUGUGCUUGGCUACGUACAUAUAUAUGUGUGUGCGUGUGUGUUUUAUGUACUGUAUAUGUACAUUCAGCUUUGUUCAAAAUAAGUUUACUAUCAAAGUACAUAAAUGUCACCAUAUACAGCCCUGUGAUUCAUUUUCCAGUGGGCAUACACAGUAAACACAAGGAAACACAAUAGAAUCAAUGAAAAACUACACACAAGAAAAGACAAACAGACAGUGUACAAAACUGUGCAAUUACAAAAAUAAAAUAGCAAAUAAAUAAUAAAUUAUCAAAAUCAGUUUUAUUAUCACUGAUAUGUGUUGUAAAAUCUGUUGUCUUUCAGCAGUAGUACAUUGUAAUACAUAAUCACCAUAACCAUAUAACAAUUACAGCACAGAAACAGGCCAUCUCAGCCCUUCUGGUCCAUGCCGAACUCUUACUCUCACCUAGUCCCACUGACCUGCAUUCAGCAGUUAACCCUCCAUUCCUUUCCUGUCCGUAUAUCUAUCCAAUUUAACUUUAAACGACAACAUCGAACCUGCCUCAACCACUUCUGCUGGAAGCUCGUUCCACACAGCUACCACUCUCUGAGUAAAGAAGUUCCCCCUCAUGUUACCCCUAAACUUUUGCCCUUUAUCUCUCCACUCAUGUCCUCCUGUUUGAAUCUCCCCCACUCUCAAUGGAAAAAGCCUAUCCAUGUCAACUCUAUCUAUCCCCUUCAUAAUUUUAAAUACCUCUAUCAAGUCUCCCCUCAACUUUCUACGCUCUAAAGAAUAAAGACCUAACUUGUUCAACCUUUCUCUGUAACUUAGGAGAUGAAACCCAGGCAACAUUUUAGUAAAUCUCCUCUGUACUCUCUCAAUUUUAUUGACAUCUUUCCUAUAAUUCGGUGACCAGAACUGUACGCAAUACUCCAAAUCUGGCCUCACCAAUGCCUUAUACAAUUUCAACAUUACAUCCCAACUCCUAUACUCAAUGCUCUGAUUUAUAAAGGCCAGCAUACCAAAAGCUUUCUUCACCACCCUAUCCACAUGAAAUUCCACCUUCAGGGAACUAUGCACCAUUAUUCCUAGAUCCCUCUGUUCUACUGCAUUCUUCAAUGCCCUAUCAUUUACCAUGUAUGUCUUAUUUUGAUUAGUCCUACCAAAAUGUAGCACCUCACAUUUUUCGGCAUUAAACUCCAUCUGGAAUCUUUCAGCCCACUCUUCUAACUGGCCUAAAUCUCUCUGCAAGCUUUGAAAACCUUUUCAUUAUCCACAGCUCCACCUAUCUUAGUAUCAUCUGCAUACUUACCAAUCCAAUUUACCACCCCAUCAUCCAGAUCAUUAAUAUAUAUGACAAAUAACAUUGGACCCAAUACAGAUGCCUAAGGCACACCGCUACACACCGUCCUCCAAUCUGUCACACAGUUAUCUACCAAUACUCUCUGGCAUCUCCCAUCCAGCCACUGCUGAAUCCAUUUUAUUACUUCGAUAUUAAUGCCUAAUGAUUGAACCUUCCUAACUAACCUUCUGUGUGGAACCUUGUCAAAUGCCUUACUGACGUCCAUAUAGACAACAUCCACCGCUUUACCCUCGUCAACUUUCUUAUAAUAGAUAAACUAUCAAUUACAAUAUGAACUAUAUACAGUAUAUAUAAAAUUAAAUAAGUCAACCAAAAAGAAAGCAAAAAAGAAAAAUAAAAAAGGUGAGGUAGUGUAGAUAGGUCCAUUGUCCAUUCAGAAACCUGAAGUCAGAAGGGAAGAAAAUGUUGAGAGUACGUCCUUCCUGAUGGGAAGAGGCAUGUCCUGGGUGGUGGGGGCCCUCAAUAAGGGAUGUUGCCUUUUUGAGGCAUCACCUUUUGAAGAUGUCCUCGAUGGUGGGGAGACUAGUGCCUAUGCUGGAGCUGGCUGGGUUUGCAGCUUUCUACAGUUUUUCCCGAUCCUGUGCGGUGGCCCCUCCAUGCCAGACAGUGAUGCGACCAGUCAGAAUGCUCCCCAUCUGUAGAAAUCUGAGUGAGUCGUUGGUGAUGUACUGUACUAAUUCUCCUCAGGCUCCUUUCUGUGCACAUGUCAUACAAGGCACAUGCACAUGUCAUACAAUGCGUGUGCACAUGUAGUGUUAGCCUGUGUGAAUUGUGGAAAAUCACACCAUUAUAGGCCAAGUUGGAGAAAGCAAGUUGCCAAUGUUUCUGAACUGAGAUUUCCACUGAGCUGCUCUUUUCACAGUGUCUUGCAGAGUUUGGCAGCAGCCACACAGUCACACCACAGGCCCUCACAAAAAGAUAAACAGGCAGUAUGGAGUGAAGUGAGCAGUGAGGAACAGCAUAAAGUAUUCACUGCUUCCUCCGAGAUAAGCCACAUUCUCAUCUUUUUUAAUGAACUGCCAUAACCCAGUAGCUUAUUUUGAAAACUGAAGGUGAAAUAUACAAAGCUGAAUAGUCUCUCCUGAAAAAUUCCUCUCUGUAUUUCUGUACCAUGUACAUCCCUCCUGAGUCUCCAUCAAGAAACCUGAGCAUUAUGUCUGUUAGGAGCGUGAAAAUACAACAGUCACACAAUAACAGCCUAAGUCACUGAGCUUUCUCUUCCAUGGAAGGAAGAUUGCUUCGUUUUUCUUUGAUGGUACUUAUUAGGAGAGCCGGAAAAGGAGACGGAGAUAAAAAAACAAACAAAAAUCCCAGAGGAAAAAAUCCAGUGAUUUGAUUGCUGCUCCCCUCCCCCAAUCAUCACACCACAUCCAAAUGGCUUUCCUCAUAGAUAUUGUAGAAAUCAGAGACAUUGUUCCUUUCAGAAAGAUAAAUAUUCAAGGCUUAGAAGAGCUAGGGGUAGGCUAGCAAUGGGGAGAGGGAUGGUGCUGGAUAGCAUUCCAAUUUUCAGACUUGUCUAAAGCCUAUCCACUUUAUAUCUAAACAGCACCAACGGAGGACAACACAAACCCCAGCUGGGCAAAGAAUUCUGGGCUCUGUCUGCACUGCAUAGAGCGAUUGCCAUUUUAUAUGGAUUUUCUGGGAUUUGCCUGAAUCACUUUGGACUCUUGCUAUAAACCCUCCAGUCCCCUGUCCCUUUAGAGAUUUCUAAAAGGAAAUGAUCUGUCAGUACACGUCUGAUCAGAAAUAGAAUUAUCACUAAUAUUGGUCGUGAAAUGUGUUGUUUUGUAGCAGCAGUGCAGUGUAAUGCAUCAAGAAUAUAUAAAUUGCAAUAAAAUUUAUAAAAGGACUAAAUUAUCUAGGUAGUGCAAGUAGAGGGCAAGAAUGAUGAGUUCAUGGAUUGGUUCGGAAAUCUGAUGGCAUAGGGGAAGAAGUCGUUCCUGUCUUCAGGCUCCCUUACCUCCUCCCUGAUGGUAGCAAUGAGAAGACAGCACAUCCUGGGUAAUGCAGUUCCUUAAUUAUGGUCUUUAAGAUGCCCUUGAAAACUCCCGCCAGUUAGCUGGCACGGGUUUUCAGUGCUCAACCAGGCACAUCAUAGAGCAACAGAAGUCUUCAGCCAAAAAAACAAUGGUUCAUUGAAGCCAGGGAGAAAGAGCAAAUCCAGCCUUCAGCAGAAGCUGAUUAUCAAAAGCAUGAGGACAUGAGGUACAUGAGGCUCGGAGCAAUUACCUUAUCUAAAUGUUCAUUCACAGGACGAUGCAGUUAGUGCCCUUUCCAAUUUAACCCCUGAGUUUAGUGGACUAUGAGGCUAUUUCAGAGUGCAGUUCAAGGUCGCCACCUCAUUCGGUCAGGAGUCACGUACAGUUGAAAGAUUUCCCUCACUUUCCUGGUUUUAUUUUGUUGGUUGAUGGCUCCCAGUCCAUAUUUCUUUAGAGAGACUUAAACCCACAUCUUCAGAUCAAUCGUCCAUGCCUCAGUUAAUUAACCAGUUUAGAGACUGCAUUAAGAAAUCUUAAAGGCAAUUUUGGCUUCUUGCUCAUCUCUAAAUUUAAUUGCAGCACCAGUGGUGUCCCAGAAUGGGAUGGAUCACCAUCCAUAAACACCUUCACCCUUUUCUCCCUCCUCAACACAGAACUUCUUUAUAAAGCAUUUGGUUAUUUGAAGUAAUACCUCUUUACUUCUUGGUAUUAAAAUUUGAUUAUGCUGCUGUGAAGUAUUUUAAAUUUGUUUCCUUGUGCUAAGAUGCUCUAUAAUUCAAGCUAUUAUUAAUGUUGUGGAUCAAAUUCACUUAACUAAUUUGAACUUACAUCUUCUGUCAGUCUUAUUAUUACUCAUAGAUGAUAGAGACAGACGCUGACAAAGGGUUAAAUGUCUGUUGAAGGCUGGAAGGGUGGUCUCAGGAUGUGGGACAUGGGUGGGACGUGUCAGCAGCAAGGAAGCACUGAUUCACAGCAUCUUCAAAGAGGAAAUGGGCACAGAUUCUGAAGGAAAUUGUUUUGAGUUCCUGAUUAAUCAGGUAGGCAGGGCCCGACUGGUGUUCCUGCUCUUUCCCACUGUUCUCAAGCUACUCCUGUAUGUUGCCCCUGAAAUUGACAGAUCCAGAGGCUUCAACAGGAGCCCUGUGAAGGAGAAGUGUUUGGGGGUUGGGAGGUGGAAAUGCUAACCGCAACCAGUUUAGAAAUGUCAAAUGAGUAACGAGGAAAUAUCAUCAGAAAUCUCUACUCCUCGAUGUGAGCAGUGAUUUAAAAGAUUUAUAUUUGAAACUCAUGCUUGGAGAGAGUGGGGUGUGGUGUGGUGUGGAGUGGAGUGAGGAAAUGUUGUACAGGACAUUAGAAAGUUAGUUACAAUGCACUGGUUGUGCUGAGAGUGAAGUAUUUGCAUGCUCAAAUGCAUUGCCUUUAUUUGUAUGAAGUCCACUGGCAGUCCUAGCCAAUAUAUCCCUCUCCUUAUACAUUCCCAACUCUGUGACAAUAGCGUUAAUACACUGGCAAUUGUCUCUCUGUUCAUUGAUGCAAUCCUGCAGUGUGUCAAAUGGUAACCAAUUUGCCCAUAGUAAGGGCACUGAAACACCAAAUAUCUAACCCUAAUUCUCCUGUGCAUUUCAGAUUCAGAUUGAUUUAUUUAUCAUAUUUACAUUGAAACAUACAGUGCCUAUAAUAAAUAUUCACCACCCCCCCUCCGGAAGUUUUCAUGUUUUAUUGUUUUACAACACUGAAUUACAGUGGACUUAAGUUGUUUUUUUUACACUGAUCAACAGAAAAAGACUCUCUUCAAAGUGAAAAUAGAUCUCUACAAAGAUUUCUAAAUGAAUUACAAAUAUAAAACACAAAAUAGUUGAUCGCAUAAUUGAUUCAUCCCCUUCAAGUCAGUAUUUAGUAGAUGCACCUUUGGCUGCAAUUACAGCCUUGAGUCUGUGUGGAUAGGUCCCUAUCAGCUUUGAAUAUUUGUUAUAGGCACUGUAUGUUUCAAUGUAAAUGUGAUAAAUAAAUCAAUCUGAAUCUGAAAUUCAGAUUUCAGAUCUGAAAUCUGGGAGGGGAACAAAUCUUCUCCCAAAUCACAGUUCUCUUGCAGACUGUAUCAGGUUUUCCUCCAGGACUUCCCUAUAUUUUGCUGCAUUCAUUUUGCCCUCUACUUUCACAAGUCUUCCAGGGUCUGCUGCAGUGAAGCAUCCCCACAGUAUGAUGCAGCCACCACCAUGCUUCACGAAAGGGAUGGUGUGUUUUUGAUGAUGUGCGGUGUUUGGCUUAUGCCGAACGUACCAUUUAGUCUGAUGGCCAAAAAGCUCAAUUUUGGUUUCAUCAGAACCUUCUUCCAGCUGACUUCAGAGUCUCCCACACGCCAUCUGGCAAACUCUAGCUGAGAUUUCAUGUGAGUUUUAUUCAACAGUGGCUUUCUCUUUGCCACUCUCCCAUGACUGGUGAUGCACCUGGGCAACAAUUGUUGUAUGCACAAGUCUCUCCCAUCUCAGCCACUGAAGCUUGUAACUCCUCUAGAGGUGUCAUAGGUCUCUUGGUGGCCUCCCUCACUUCUUGCAUGGUCACUCAGUUUUUGAGGACAGCCUGCUUUAGGCAGAUUUAGAGCUGUGCCAUAUUCUAUCCAUUUCUUGAUAAUUGACUUAACUGUACUCCAAGGGAUAUUCAGUGACUUGGAAAUUUUCUUGUAUCCAUCUCCUGACUUGUGCUUUUCAAUAUCCUUUUUGUGAAGUUGAUUGGAAUGUUCUUUUGUCUUCAUGGUGUAAUUUUUGCCAGGAUACAAUCACAAUCAAUUGGACCUUCCAUAUGCAGGUGUAUUUUUACUACAAUCUAUUGAAACACUUUGACUGCACACAGUGAUCUCCAUUUAACUAAUUAUGUGACUUCUAAAACCAAUUGGCUGCACCAGUGAUGAUUAGUGUGUCAGAUUAAAGAGGGUGAGUACUUAUGCAAUCAAUUAUUUUGUGUUUUAUAUUU
This is a long non-coding RNA of Mobula hypostoma (lesser devil ray), 7567 nucleotides long. RefSeq lists it as uncharacterized. NCBI's taxonomy places the organism in Eukaryota, Metazoa, Chordata, Chondrichthyes, Myliobatiformes, Myliobatidae. The transcript has 3 exons. The record is from RefSeq and is a predicted model, not a curated record.